GAUGAACGCUAGCGGCAGGCCUAACACAUGCAAGUCGAGGGGCAGCACAGAAACAGCAAUGCUUUGGUGGCGACCGGCGGACGGGUGCGUAACGCGUAUGCAACCUACCUUUAACUGGGGGAUAACGGAGAGAAAUUUCCACUAAUACCCCAUAACAUCGAUCAAGCCAUCUUGAUUGGUUGAAAACUCCGGUGGUUAAAGAUGGGCAUGCGUUGUAUUAGGUAGUUGGUGAGGUAAUGGCUCACCAAGCCUACGAUACAUAGGGGGACUGAGAGGUUAGCCCCCCACACUGGUACUGUGACACGGACCAGACUCCUACGGGAGGCAGCAGUGAGGAAUAUUGGUCAAUGGGGGCAACCCUGAACCAGCCAUGCCGCGUGCAGGAAGACGGCUCUAUGAGUUGUAAACUGCUUUUAAACAGGGAUAAAGCACAGUAUGUAUACUGUGUUGAAGGUACUGUAAGAAUAAGGAUCGGCUAACUCCGUGCCAGCCGCCGCGGUAA
This 502-nucleotide ribosomal RNA is filed under the name uncultured bacterium. RNAcentral's name for it is "partial 16S ribosomal RNA". It matches the Rfam family "Bacterial small subunit ribosomal RNA", at positions 28 to 523 of the family's 1533-position model. The record is from RNAcentral.